Molecule: long non-coding RNA, 394 nt
Organism: Etheostoma cragini (Arkansas darter)
Lineage: Eukaryota; Metazoa; Chordata; Actinopteri; Perciformes; Percidae
Exons: 2
Source: RefSeq, a predicted model, not a curated record
CUAAUGAAGGCAAAGGUUCCAGCAGCAGCUACUGCAGAAGUGGAAAAGAAGAAAGGACUGGCGCUGUUUGGACCCAAACCGCCCACACCCAAACUUCUGCGUGCUUUUGGUGGCAACACUAACUUUUUGUCAAAAAUUAAGAGUGCUGCUGCCUCUGGCAAGUGAGGAUUGUAAUGAGCUUUUUUUAAAUAUAUACAUAUAUAUAUGUAUAUAUAUGUAUAUAUAUAUAUAUAUAUAUAUAUGUAUAUAUGUAUACACACAGUAUGUAACGUUUUUUGGAAGUGAAUGUACAGUUUUGUUUUCAACCUCUUUUUGUAAUAAGUGUGGAUGUCCUGUCAUUGUAAGAUACUGUUAAAAAAAAAGGAUGCCUCUGUUAUUUCCCAGAGUCAAAAAA